UACGUAGGGGGCUAGCGUUGUCCGGAUUUAUUGGGCGUAAAGAGCGUGUAGGCGGCCCGACAAGUCAGUUGUGAAAACUAGAGGCUUAACCUCUAGACGUCGAUGGAAACUGUGUGGCUAGAGUCCGGAAGAGGAGAAUGGAAUUCCUGGUGUAGCGGUGAAAUGCGCAGAUAUCAGGAAGAACACCCGUGGCUAAGGCGGUUCUCUAGUACGGUACUGACGCUGAGACGCGAAAGCGUGGGGAGCGAACAGG
This 253-nucleotide ribosomal RNA is filed under the name uncultured bacterium. RNAcentral's name for it is "partial 16S ribosomal RNA". It matches the Rfam family "Bacterial small subunit ribosomal RNA", at positions 524 to 776 of the family's 1533-position model. The record is from RNAcentral.